AUGUGGGCAGGGUCGGCGGUUGGGGCAGGCUCGCCAACUGGGCAAAAGCGAGCGCUGGUGAGCGCAAUGAAAGGAAGCCAAGCGUCGGCGUACGUCAACGAUUCGGGCGCCUGCGGCAUGUAUCUUGGUGAAUGUACAGAGCUAAUGUUCAAUACAUUCUCUCAGGAAUAUCUGAUCUGCGCCAUGACAAUAUGGCCUUGCUGCAGCCAGGCGGUUCUUGGGAGUAUGGUGCUUCGAUUUGGUUCCUGUGGUGAGUGUAUAUGGAGAGGCCGCAAGCAGCAGGGGUCAGCGGAGCGGCUGCUGCGGUCGACAGAGCAGCAGGAGCAAGGAGCUCGAGAUGGUUCAGGUAGAGCGCCUACAACGAUUACUGAACUGGAUAGAGGUGCCUUAUGA
RNAcentral lists this ribosomal RNA (393 nucleotides) under Triticum aestivum (bread wheat). Its description in RNAcentral is "partial small subunit ribosomal RNA". The record is from RNAcentral. Lineage: Eukaryota; Viridiplantae; Streptophyta; Magnoliopsida; Poales; Poaceae.